RNAcentral lists this ribosomal RNA (311 nucleotides) under uncultured Glomeromycotina. RNAcentral describes it as "partial large subunit ribosomal RNA". The record is from RNAcentral. Lineage: Eukaryota; Fungi; Glomeromycota.
UUGAAAGGGAAACGAUUGAAGUCAGUCGUGCUGGCAUGAAAUCAACCACUGCAUACACAAAAGUGUUGGCGGGUGAGCCUAAAAACCAUCGCGCCAACAUUUUUGCGUAUGCAGUGGUGCACUUUUUUGUCAGCUGGUUAGCAUCAAUUUCGACCGUCAUAAAAAGGCUGGGGGGAUGUGGCUCCUUCGGGAGUGUUAUAACCCUUAGCGGAAUGUGGUGGACGUGAUUGAGGAUUGCAACGGGUGCUGCUUUACCUGGCCUCUCGCUUGCGUCUCGGUGGCGACAGCUGUUCUCUUCUGUACUUUUUUUG